This 484-nucleotide ribosomal RNA is filed under the name uncultured bacterium. Its description in RNAcentral is "partial 16S ribosomal RNA". It matches the Rfam family "Bacterial small subunit ribosomal RNA", at positions 30 to 507 of the family's 1533-position model. The record is from RNAcentral.
AUUGAACGCUAGCGGGAUGCUUUACACAUGCAAGUCGAACGGCAGCGCGGACUUCGGUCUGGCGGCGAGUGGCGAACGGGUGAGUAAUGUAUCGGAACGUGCCCAGUAGCGGGGGAUAACUACGCGAAAGCGUAGCUAAUACCGCAUACGCCCUACGGGGGAAAGCAGGGGAUCGUAAGAACUUGCACUAUUGGAGCGGCCGAUAUCGGAGUAGCUAGUUGGUGAGGUAACGGCUCACCAAGGCGACGAUCCGUAGCUGGUUUGAGAGGACGACCAGCCACACUGGGACUGAGACACGGCCCAGACUCCUACGGGAGGCAGCAGUGGGGAAUUUUGGACAAUGGGGGCAACCCUGAUCCAGCCAUCCCGCGUGUGCGAUGAAGGCCUUCGGGUUGUAAAGCACUUUUGGCAGGAAAGAAACGUCGCGGGCUAAUACCCCGUGGAACUGACGGUACCUGCAGAAUAAGCACCGGCUAACUACGUG